AGUCCCCGGCGUUCGGGCGCCCUGCAUGGAUCCCACACUCCGGCUCCUGCUUCCCAGCGGUGGCCGGUGGGCAGAAAGACCGAAACCCACUUACGGCCGCCUCCCGAAUCGCGGCUCUGCUGUUUGUGGGGCGUGCUAGAAACGUGGUCCUAAAAAGAAUGGCGUCCAUUUACAUAAUGCUUUGUUUGCGUUUCGCAAGUUUCUUUCGGUUAAAGCCACAGAAACCCCACCUCCUGCCCUUGUGUCGCUUCCACCGCGGCACCCUUUUCCGACAUUAGAAACAAUAGUGUGCGCCUGUGGAGGCCUCGUUUGUUCAGGGGCUGCUUCAGGGCCAGGGCUUCAGGACGUUUCUGCGGCUUUCCCCGCGCGGCCUGGGCUCCAGCGGCUGCCUUUCGGGCCCAUGGGAGCAGCCAUCGCGCCAGGCUCUCCGGGGGCGGCCCCGUCAGGGCCCGCCAUCUUGGAAGGCCUUUUCUGCCCGUUCCUCCCUCUGAGGAAGUGUAGCUCAAGACGCUGGCUUACGAGUUGUGAUUUCUGCCCUUUCCCCUUUCUCCUUGGGCUAAGCCAGAUCAGAAAGGGCCCCGUGCGCAACGUGCUUCACAAUCUCUCAGGCAAAGCGGCCAACGUGGCGCUACUCCGCCUCCCCUGUUCCUUACCGGUGGGGCGGCCGCCAUGUUUCCUGAACACAAAAUGGCGACACGUGGUUAGCAUUCGUCGCCAACGAGAAAUUGGGGUCGGCCCGAAAGCUCUAGAAUGCACCCCUAUUCCUCCCCGGGGCCAUUCCCGCUCCACGAGUUUUAUGACCUAAAAAACCCCACAGGCUGGUCUGAAGGUCGGAGGCCUAAUUUUAACGCGUUUUCCUCCCUUUAAUUUGAAACGGGAACGCGAAUAACUAAAAUGUGGGCACAAUAUUUAACCUCUUGCUUUUUUAAAGCUUAAUAAUGGAUAGUAGGGGGCAGUAUCAAGGGAUAAUUUGGGUCCCCACAGUACCAAAGCAUUUAGAAACCUCUGCUUAAUUUAAGGAAUGAGAUAAAUUACUGCUUUUCUAGAUUUGGUAGCAUGUGCUGUUGUGCUGGAGAGAACGAGAGCUACGAAGAGACUAGAAUGCCUCUGACUUUUUCAUAGGACAGUUGGCCGGUGAAUCUUAUUAAUAGUUUACCACAAUUAAGUGUUCACUUUUAGUCUAGAAGGGACAGGCGUUUAUUGUGCAUUGGCCCGUGCCAGCACAUCCGAUGCAAGGCAUUUCACCGUAUUCUAUCUUUAAUUUUUACCAUGGUCCUCUGAGGUAGGUGUUCUUAUCUCUCUCUCUCUUUUAAACAGAGGAAGACACUUAAAGAUGAAGUGCUUAAUUCAAGGUCACAGAAUGUCGGGGAUGGACCUCCAGAUUUCCUUACUGACCUGUAUUAUCUUGUGGAUACCUGAGUGAAUUCCACACCACCCAUUUUAUAGAUGAAGCCACUGAGACGUGGAGCAACUGACUGAGUAGUCACUGCCCCACCCCUGCCUGGAGCCUCACACAUGACUCAGGUACUUAUCCUGUAUUACAUGAGGGAAAUGAAAUAAAAAGACUGCAACCCUCCUCCCAGCUACUCAGUGAGGUGGUAGCUAGGAAAACAAGCUCAGGGCUCCCACUGAUUGUACAUUAUGGUGAGACGUGGUCUUGUAACACAGUGGUUAAGAAUGUGACUUUGGAGCCAGCCUGCUAGGGGCUGAAUUCUGACUCAGCCAUUUAUUAACUGUGUGACCUUAGAUAAAGGAAACUGAGGCCCAGAGAAGUCAAAUACUUUGAGAUCUCUGUAGGCCUCUACUGUGCUGGCUGUGCAUAGAUUCCAUACCUCCUGCUGUUGCUGUUGUUGGCUGUCUACCUUUACCAUGGCCAUCACCUCCUGACAGUGAUGGAGCUGAGCUGCUGGAAUAACUUGUUUUUCUUUUUUCUUUUUUUGUUUUCUUUUGAGACAGAGUUUCGCACUGUCCCCCAGGUUGGAGUGCAGUGGCGCGAUCUCAGCUCACUGCAACCUUUGCCUCCUGGGUUCACACCGUUCUUCUGCCUCAGCCUCCCAAGUAGCUGGGACUACAGGCGCCUGCCACCACGCCCGGCUAAUUUUUUGUAUUUUUAGUAGAGAUGGGGUUUGACUGUUAGCCAGGAUGGUCUCGAUCUCCUGACCUCGUGAUCUGCCCGCCUCGGCCUCCCGAAGUGCUGAGAUUACAGGGGUGAGCCACCAUGCCUGGCCUCUUUUUUUUUUUUUUUUUUUUUUUUGGAGACGGAGUCUCGCUCUGUCACCAGGCUGGAGUGCGGUGGCGCGAUCUCGGCUCACUGCAACCUCCGCCUCCCGGAUUUAAGCAAUUCUCCUGCCUCAGCCUUCUGAGUAGCUGGGAUUACAGGCACAUGCCACCACGCCCAGCUAAUUUUUGUGCUUUUAGUAGAGACAGCAUUUCACCAUGUUGGCCAGGAUGGUCUCAAUCUCUUGACCUUGUGAUCCGCCUGCCUUAGUCUCCCAAAGUGCUGGGAUUACAGGCAUGAGCCACCACACCUGGCCUAUGACUCGUUUUCUAAUACACCAGGCCAUAGCCUUUCUUCAUGUCUUGCCUGCUUCAUACUGUAAAUCAGAAACUCCUCUCAGGAGGCUUCUGACUGUAGCCUGACCAUCUCACCUCCAAUCCCUCUUCCCCUCUCCCCUUUAUUUUCCCUUUCCUAUUCUGUCUUUAUUUUUACUUUUCGUGCAGUGUCAGAGAAGUGUAGUGACAAUGUCGGGGGAGGAUCUCCCAGCUGCCUCUGGCAGUUGGUUUUAUACUUCCCACUUCUGGCGUGCUGUACCUUCUAGAAUUUCUGUCAGGAGACAAUUCAAAUCUUGUGUUUUUCUUUGGAGCUUUCAAGAUCUUGCACAUAGCUUAUAGUUACAUGGCUGUGAACAGAGAACGGGCAGUUUCAUGGUGGCAUUGGCUGUGAGGGCACUUAACAUUGAUGAAUUCAACCCACCACAGUGGCUGUCUCCCCUGUCAAAGUGAGUGAGGGGAUGAGAGCAUUUUCUGAACCAGCUCAUCUUCCUGAAUAGCUUCUUGCAUGCCCCUGGGCUUUUCUGUUGGCAUUUAAUUGCUGGCUGUGGAAUCUUGCCUGUUUUCCAAUAUAGACCUUUGGCUUUAGAUCCUGUUCUUGUUCUUACCCACUCUCACUAAACUGAACUCCAGGAACCACAUCUCUUUUGUUUGCUGCUGUAUCCCAGGACUGAGCAAAGGCCUGAUGCUUACUAACACCUCAAGAAUAUUUAUUGAAUGAAGAAAUGAAUAUUGACCUGGAAAGUUCAAACUCUUGGUUUUCCUUGCUUCUUCCUGAAGUCAGGGGCCAGAUUAAGAAUUUGUUUAAUAGUCUUAAGCAAUAGAAAAAUUAUGAUGUUCCUCAUACUUUCAUCCCUCCGUAUGUAUUUUAAAAACAGUGUAAAUGCAAAACAAGUAUAAAGAAACCUAGCAAAAUAUAAAGAAAAUGCAGCAAAAUUCUGAUUUUUACCAUGGUUACCACUUUCAUAAAUAUAAAGUAACUUAAAAUAUUUGUUGUUGUUGUUCUUGUUUUGCCAGUUCCCUGAGCACAUGCUGUUGAGUAAUCCUGCGUGGACCAGUCCUUCCCUCACCCUAGACUUCACCUUCAGUUCCCCUUUAUACCACUUGCUGAAGCUGCCAGCCAGCCUUUUCCACCACCCUCCCUCCCCCAGGGGUGUUUGGCUUCUCAGACCCCAGCCUGAGCUAGUGCCCUUGGCUCCCUAGGGUCUUGCCAGGAAAGUCAAAGGAGAACAUGCAUACUGCCAAAGAGUACCUAAUAAUAAUAACUCCCAUGCUGAAUUGUGAUUUAUAGUCAGCAUAGCACAUGUGUCAGGUGAUUGUACUUAGGCUGAUUUUAGCCUUAAUAAUCUGCUUCUGUGAUCCUGUAUGUGGAAAGCCUAGAAAUUUCUCUGUGAUCCUCCUUCCUGGAUCACUAAGAGACAAGUCAAGACAUAGGUCCAUUCUACCACCUGUAUUAAUCUGGGCCUUGUUGAGACCAUUUAAAGAAAGGUGUGAUGCUAGAAGUAAGGUCCAGGCCUCCUACACACUGUUUCAAGGCUGUGACCAUAGUCAGAUCCUGUUGCUUGAGUCCAAAGAGUUUAAAAUAAUGUUGGAAACCUCCUAGGGAAAAAACAAAAAACAAAAAAAAAAAAACCACAUCUUCCUGGGUAAGGAAGUGACAUGUGCUGACUAGAGCAGGAGGGGUAGCCAAGGCUCCAAAUUCUAUUCUGGACCUGUUGUUGAUUUGAGGUGUGAUAUUCAGCAAUCUGAGCUGAUGUUGUGUAGCUCUGAUUGGUUUCUCAUCUUCUGCAGAGAGAGUGAAAGAGGCUGUGCUUGCAGGGGAAAAGGUGAACACUGGUCUUCUGUCCUUUAGGAGAGCCUCACCAUUACACGUCCUGCCUCUCAUUCGAAUUUCCAGGCUUCUUUUUUAGAGUCUCGCUCUAUUGCCCAGAUUGGAGUGCAGUGGUGUGAUCUCGGCUUACUGCAACCUCUGCCUCUGGGUUUAAGCAAUUCUCUCACCUCAGCCUCCCAAGUAGCUGGAAUUAUAGGUGCGUGCCACCAUGCCUGGCUAAUUUUUGUGUUUUUAGUAGAGUCAGGGUUUCACCAUGUUGGCCAGGCUGUCUCGAACUCCUGACCUCAAGUGAUCCACACAUCUCGGCCUCCCAACCAGGCUUCUUUUUUAAAUGCAGAACCCCCCCCCCCACCAGAGUUAAUAUAGAAACCCAGCAAUGUUGUUUAUGUUUUACUUGAGUUCAUUUCAUCAGAAUUGCAUUCCUUUUAACAGUGUGAUUAGAUCAGCUCUUAGAGGGGAUGGCAACUUCAAUAGGGUUUAGGAAAGGAAAGGAAUAUUUGUGUGGGGCACACACCUUGGCUUUGAUAGCUUGAGGAUACCAGGUACAUGAUAAUUUAGAUGGAUAACAGAAACUUGUGUCCCUUGAGAGCCAGGCAUGUAUUAGACGCUUUCAUACAUUAUUUAAUUAUAAUACAAACCAAUAAAGUAUUCCCAUUUUUUGCACAUGGGCAAGCUGAAAGUCAAAGAAGUUAUGUAACUUGCCCAAGGUCACACAGCUAAUAAAAAGGCUGAGCUAGGAUUUAUUUCUCCUCAAGUCUGUACAACGCCAAAGCCCAUGCUGUUUUCACAGAGCUUUUCUGUCCCUGGUGAGAUUUAGGAAAGGAGGGUAGGAGAAAGAAGGGUGAUGAGAUGCCAUCUUUACCCACCUCGCGAUUUUGCUUGUUGGGACGUGUUUAGCCAGAACAUUCUGUUUAUAGAAUACUAGAUUCUAUAUAUAGAGAUGCUGCGGCAACAUAUGUGGGAAAGAUACCAAUUGGCUGUAGGUGAGGAUCUCAAAAAGCCUUUGUUCUUCAUCACAGUGUAGGCCACACGUGUCAAAACACCACUGGUAAUUGGUUUACUGCAUAAGUGGCUCUGUCCUAUCAUCUACAUAAAAUCUGUUGAUGUGGCUCACAGGUGUGAUGGGGCCAGAGGUGAGGGUGUGGUGUAUCCUCACUGCAUGUACUGGAGCUGGUGGCACCUGUUGUGUGACUACUGCAGUGAAUGAUUACUGAGUAAAUAAAAGGUGUCUCGGCCAGGCGUGGUGGCUCAUGCUUGUAAUCCCAGCACUUUGGGAGGCCGAGGUGGGCGGAUCACCUGAGGUUGAGAGUUUGAGACCAGCCUGACCAACACGGAGAAACCCCGUCUGUACUAAAAAUACAAAAUAAGCUGGGUGUGGUGGCUCAUGCCUGUGAUCCCAGCCACUUGGGAGGCUGUGGCAGGAGAAUCACCUGAAUCCGGGAGGCGGUGGUUACCGUGAGCCCAGAUCGUGUCAUUGCACUCUAGCCUGGGCAACAAGAGUGAAACUGUCUCAGAAAAAAAAAAAAAAAUUAGGUGUCUCUCUUUUUUUCCUUUUCCAAGGGAGACCAGAUAGCAGUGGGUGCUGGCACACAUCCAGGGAUACUGGCCCCUGGGCUAGCAGAAGAGAUGGCUUGAAGGUGUCAGGUGAUGGAAUAAAGAGAGCUGGUCAGUCAAGUGGUAUAAUUUCAGGGGACCAAGAAUGUGUCCUGCCCCUCAAAAACUUGCCCUAGCUGUUUGCUAUUGCUUGGAAUCCCACAACUGAAAUUUCUUUUCCUUGAUUUAAAUCUUUGAGACCCUGUUAAAAAUGAAGAGACUCCAGGAAGGGUUUUGAUUGUGGAACAUCUUGGUCAUGUUAACUGGAAGUGUGAAUGAGUUUAUAAGAUUGAUUUCUGAGAACCAGACUGAGGAAGGGAUAGAGAGGAGAAGGCACUGUGCCCCUAGGUGUAGGGACAGGAAGGAGACACCAAUGAGUUUGAGAUAAAGGCCUUGAAGAGAGAUGCUGGGUCCCUAAAGAAAUACUUGGUUUCCUUUACAGUUUUGUCUGAGAAAAGACAAGCAGCUGAGCGUGCUGGUUAUGGAGGCCCAUGACCCCAAAAGAGGGUGUGCUGAGUAGAUAGCCCACCAGCAUGUUCGGAUGGAGGCACAGUGUUGUCUGGAGAGCAGCUGACAGCUAUAAUGUAACCAGGAGUGCUGGACCUUUGGGUCUGUGGUUUACUGUGAUGUACUCAGACAAGACUGUCACAGAUCUUAGAAGGGGGGAGGCACAGCUUCCGAGAAAUGAUGCAAAAUGGUGGCGCAAAAGAGGCCACCAGUGGCAACAAGGGCAGGGCAUUUCCUUCGUGGCUGGUGGUCACGGACAACUUCUGGUCUCAAUUUCCCAAUGAGCUAUGCUAAGAGCUUUACCAGAAAGCAAAAUAAGCCAUGCCAAAAGCCAUGACAAAGCACUUGGAGUAUCCACGCAAAGGUGCAGUUCCCCCUUGUCCACUAAUUUUGUGGAGCCAAAAUAGCUGAUCCAGAAGCUGCAAAGAUAGUCCCUGUGAUUAAGACAUACAACUUUUUUUUUUUUUUUUUUUUUUAUGAGACAGAGUCUCACUCUGCCACCCAGGCUGGAGUGCAGUAGAGCAAUCUUGGCUCACUGCAACUUCCGCCUCCUAGGUUCAAGUGAUUCUUCUGCCUUAGUGUCCCAAGUAGCUGGGAUUAGAGGCGCACACCACCACGCCCAGGUAAUUUUUGUAUUUUUAGUAGAGAUGGGGUUUCACCAUGUUGGCCAGGCUGGUCUUGAACUCCUGACCUCAGGUGAUACUCCUGUCUUGGCCUCCCAAAGAAGGCAUACAACUUUUUUGGCCUGAGUUCUUCCAAAGAGAGACCCUUCCUGAUUAACUUGGCAUCAUCUUUCAUUCACCAGUGUUCUCUUAACUGCCUUUAUGAUUAGAAUUUUCACAGUGUUUUCUCCCCCAAGGGCGUAUUUUACAGAGGUAACUCAAAUCUCAGUGCCUUUCUGAGAUCCUUACAAUUGGGUUUAUAGAUGCCUCCACCCAGAGGUUCAAUUUCACUGUCCAUAUUCCUAUCCUAAGUCUAGAGCACUUUAUUUUUGAUCCAGACUUUUGGCUUCACUGAGGCCUCUUGGGUUCUAGCUAAUUUUUUUGGACACAUUUCUCUAGUGGGCAGCCUAGGAAUGGCCUGUCCUUCCUAUCCCCCAAAGUUUGGCAAAGUCUGUACCUGCUACCUUAAUGGAAUCAGCACUACUUGAGAUUUCUGAACAUCCUACACCGUUUCCUCUCCCCUCAACCCCUGCAGCCUCAUACACAAGGUCUAGUGGAAAGCAGGAUCUGCUGAUCACUAGGCUAUUAGAGCCAGUGUCUCCAGUAGGGAACUCCUGGGCAUGUGUUCUAUGCCAUGAAUGACAGCUCUCUGCCUAUCAGUUUCUGCUUUCCCUCCAUCUCACCUUUAUUUUGGCUUUUACCUAGAAGUACAAGGUUUGUCUUGUUCCUCUGCCUGGACUUCCUAACCCUGUCCAGAACUAAAGCCCUGCUGUCAGUCCCUCACCAGGGACUUUCCACACUUUCCCUGGCCAGGUCACUUAUCGAUACUAGAGCCUUUUCUUGCAUCUAGGCUUUAGUAGGUAGAGUUCUGUCCAUGCACAGGUCUCCCUGUGUUGACCACCUUGAACUUCGCCUAAUGCUCUUUGGGCUAAUUAGAUGUCAUGCUAGUCUGUCCCACUGCCUUCUGGAACAAGGCUCUUAGCUUUGUUGAGCUCCUGCCCUGGAUUUCGUGUUAGCUGUCCAGCUGCCUCCACCUCAAAGAGAGCUUUUAAUAUGCAUUGUAAAACUCCCAAAAGGGAAAUAGAAUAUAUAACAUUUUUCAAACGUAUUUAACUAGAGAUCCAUUUUUUUUGAAGGAAUAUUUAUUAAAAUCUUACAGAAUAUAUGUUUGGUGGAAUACAGUUUUGGAAAGAGUGAAUCUUUAUCCCAAAGGAAUGGACAUCAAAUAGAGUAAUUCCAGAUGAAGAUAAUGUUACUAUUACCUUCAUCUGAAAUUCCAGAUGAAGGUAAUAAUCACUGUUUCCUGUGUGUCUGCAUAAGGAUAGCUCUAAUCCGCAGUGGAACUCUAAAAUAGGGAGGAAGGAAGAAUUCUGCAUUCUUUUUUCCACUUUGAAUCCUCUUCUUCCCAAUGGAAAAGGAAGUGGUAAAUGCAAUGGUACCAUCAUGGCCAUGGCCGUCACUGGCUUCUGGAUACAAGAUAGGAGGGCUUCUCUGAGGCUCUCUUCCCUAGGUUGGACCUCUGUCAGAAUUUCUCUAGAGUGCUCCUGAGCACCCUUCCUUCUACUCUGGGACUAUAUUCAUCUCAGCAUCAGUCUCAAGUUUAACUGCAUGUUCAGGAUUUUGAUGUUACACAUGGAGAUCAGUGCCAAAUGGGAUGUAGCUCAUUUUUAUGGAAUGAGUAGGACAUAAAUUUUCUCCUUUCCCUAUUAAAUUUCUAUAUCUUGUAGGCAGUCCAGACUAUAAUUUUUUUUCAAUCCUUGAAUGGAGAUAAGCUCAUGCUCUGUAGGCAGGGCGGUGUUACAGGUGGGUCACCAUUUAAAUCUGGCUGGGUGGGUGACCAAGUACCAGAAAUUGAAGUUGGCAUAACUAGUAACCAAAGAGCAAGCCAAUUACUUCCCCUGCAUGCCAUUCCCAAACAGCACAGCCAGCACAGCUAGGGAAAGACCACCUGAAAGAAAUCUCUAAGACUUCUGAUGAAGAAAUUACUAGGUCCUCUUGAGACCCUCAUGUAUGUGUCUUUAUUGUCGUGAGUGAGAUCAUUAGUUGGCUGAUCUCAGAUAGUUGGUUUAGCUAAUCAUAAAACAAACUAGAUGGAAAGGCUCAGCUUUGACCAUGACCUUAGAUAGGGAUGGACCAUGUCCUUAGGUAUGUUCUUUGAACAUCCAGUAACCAGCAUUCUCCAUACACAAGCCCCACCCUUGGGGCCUUAGCCUAUGACAUUUGUCCAUUUUUGCCACUUCUUCUGAAAGACCGUGGUUUUAACUGAAGACCAGGGAGUUAGCUCGCUUAUAGGAAAGUGGGAAGAGGGCUUGAAAUGCGCAUUCAAAGAUCUUAAAUAGAGCUUGUAGUUUCUUUGGUCAGUCUACAGGUAUUUGCCACAUUAUUUUAGUUUAGUUCAGUUUAGUUUAGUUUUGAGUGGGAGUCUCACUCUGUCACCCAGGCUGGAAUACAGUGGCGUGAUCUCGGCUCACUGAAACCUCUGCCUCCUGGGUUCAAGUGAUUCUCCUGCCUCAGCCUCCCGAGUAGCUCGGAUUACAGGUGCCUGCCACUGCGCCUGGCUAAUUUUUGUACUUUUAGUAAAGACAAAGUUUCACCAUCUUGGCCAGUCUGGUCUUGAACUUUUGACCUCGUGAUCCACCCGCCUUGGCCUCCCAAAGUGCUGGGAUUACAGGUGUGAGCCACCGUGCCCAGCUGGUAUUUGCUAAGUAUUAAUUGACUUUUAACUGUGGAAAACUUGUUAACAGCUUUAGGAAGGCUGUUAGGGAAAGUCUUAGGUUGCAGUGAGCUGAGAUCACGCCAUUGCACUCCGGCCUGGGCAACAGAGCAAGACUCCAUCUCAAAAUAAAUAAAAAUUAAAAAAAUAAAGAGACAAAGUCUUGCUCUGUCACUCAGGCUAGAGUGCGGUGGUGUGAUCACAGUUCACUGCAGCCUCAAACUCCUGAGCUCAAGCAAUCUUCCUGUCUCAGCCUCCCUGAGUAGCUGAGAUCACAUAGUUGGGUGCCACUAUGUCCAACUGUCUCUACUCCCUCUAUAUACUGUCUCUAGAUGAUGCCAUCUAUAUUUAUUGGUUCAGCUACCACUAAUACAUCAAGUACUUUAAUACCAUCAUCCUCCACCUAGAUUUCUCUCUCUUCUGAGUUACUUACUCAUAAUAGCCAAACACUAUUGGCAUUGUAACCUGGAUAGCUCUUAAGCAUCUUAACAUGUCUCAAGCCAAAUUAUAUUCAUCACACCAUUCUCUUUCCCCAUUCCAAACCUCCUCCUUCUCCUCCUUACUUCCUUGAUUCAGGAGCAUCAUUGUCUAGGAUCAUUUGUUAACAUGCUUUUGCAUUACUGUUUCUCUAUUCCCCCACUGAGAAUUUAAUAGGCUCCGGUUGUAAUGUAAGAUGUUCAGGAUGUGGUUCUUUCCUUUCUUAUUCAAGAACAAUUAAGGGUUAAGCUGAGAUUCAGACUCUAAGUAAAACGGAAGUUCUGGAGAGGAAGCAUCUGAGGGCUAGAACCUUGGGAGAAAACUUGAGAGUUGACUAAGGCCACCCUUAGGUGCAGUAGGGGCCAGAAGACCUCUUUAGGAGCAUGCAGAAUGGAGAAGAGGUGGGGCAUAUGAUCCUCAGUUUGUUUCUUGUGCAAGCAGAGUAAUUGGCACCUUUCCUGCAGGCUGUUUCUGUAAAUCACUGUGGAACCUCAUGUAAUCUGGUUUAGGCGUCUAAGGAUUGAGCAUCCUAGUAUAACCCAUCAGCCUUCUGGAGUCAUCCUUCUCCUUAAAGUUUUGGCUCAAAAUGUCAUUCUUCAACUUACAGCAAGUUGUUCUGAUUCCUUCUUCAGAUUUCUUCAAAUUCCCAGGAGCUCUGAUUUUGAGCUCUUGCUUCCAUUGAAUUUGUUUAGGUUAUGGAUGGUUUACUAGAUCAAGUACACUGACCUUGUUUCCAUCCACAUUGAUAUAGAUGUAGAACUCCCAGCUAAAGCCUUUAUAUGCGUUGCAGACUUUAUCAAAGGUUUGGGAUAAUGGAGAGAAUUCAACAUUGCAACAAAGUAAGCAACUUGAAUUCUAAUACUGGUUGUUCCUGUUCCUCAGAGUACUUUUGCCCACCCCUCCACCAGGGAUUUGUCAUUAUUCAUAUCACUCACAUAUGUUGGCCUUGUUUUUUUUUUUUUUUUUUUUUUUUUUGAGAUGGAGUUUUGCUCUUGUUGCCCCGGCUGGAGUGCAAUGGCACGAUUUCGGCUCACUGCAACCUUUGCCUCACAGGUUCAAGUGAUUCUCCUACCUCAGCCUCCCAAGUAGCUGGGAUUACAGGCAUGUGCCACUAUGCCUGGCUAAUUUUUGUAUUUUUAGUAGAGACAGGGUUUCUCCAUGUUGGUCAGGCUGGUCUCGAACUCCCAACCUCAGGUGAUCCGCCCACCUCGGCUUCCCAAAGUGCUGGGGUUACAGGCGUGAGCCACCUCACCCAGCUGGCCUUGGUCUUUUAUAAUCUUAUCUUUCUCUCCUCUGCAAACUCUCCUUAGCAUAUUACCACUAGAACUCCAAAUACUUCUCUCAUUCUAUUUUACAAGCAAUUUAACUCUCUCAAACUCUUCCUCCUCAGAUCACUUCUGGGUUCACGUCUGUGUGUCCAGAGCCUACCAAGGGGGAAUAAAGAGUUUCAUACGCGUUUUUUUUUUUUUUUUUCCUUGAGACAUGGUUUUGUUCUGUUGCCAAGGCUGGAGUGAAGUGCUAUGAUGUGGUCAUAGCUCAUUGUAACCUCAAACUCUUGGCCUCAGGCAAUCCUCCCACCUUAGCCUCCUGAGUAGUAGCUAGCACUACAGGUGAUUACUACCACACCUGGCUACUAUUUUUUUUUGUUUUUUAGUGACAGGGUCUUGGUAUGUUGCCCAGGCUGGUCUCGAACUGGCCACAGGCCUCAAGCGAUUCAACUUUCUUGGCCUCCCAAAGUGUUGGGAAUGCAAGCAUGAGCCACUCUGCCCAGCCUUCAUGCAUUUCUUUAGCUACACAAAGAAUAAUAUGUAGACCCUCUGAUGUUUACUUUUCCAUUAUCUUCCCUCUUUUGAAGGUAUUUCUUGUUUUGAAUAGCACUUACUGCUUACCUGCAUAAUGGUUUUACAUUGAAGGAUCUAUGGAGGAAAAAUAGGAGGAUAUUCUAGGUAAAGGCAACAAUAAAAGCAGCAACCUUCAUAAAACCUGUUGUGGACAAAUGAAAAACUAGUCCAACUGGGCAGAAGGAUUCUUGUCAAGGAGGAGAGCUCAGAAUAGAUUAGAAAAUCCAGAAACAGACCUAGGUUUCAGCAGGAAAGGAUAGUGUUAGGUUAGGACAAGUGAUACAGGACAGCUGGCUGACGAGAAAAAAAAUUUCUGUCACCAUAUAGCAAAAUUAAUUCUAAAUGGAUUACAAGUUUUUACAUAAAAACUAAAGUAAUAAAUGUACUAGAAGAUAAUUUUUUUUUGAAGUAUGGCACUAAAGGCAGAAACUAUAAAGGAAAAUGUGUGAUGAAUUAGCUAAAAAAAAAAAGUAACAGCAUAAGCAAAAGUAGAUGACAAACUGGUUAAAAACAAUUUUCAACAUAUCUCUAAUGUACACAGAGCUUUUACACAUUAAUAGAAAAAAAAACAAAUACCACAAAAAAUGGGCUAAAGUCAUAGAAGAAUAAAUUCAAACGUGACUAACAAAACAUAUAGAAAAAGGCUAUUUCAGCCAGGUGCAGUACCUCAUGCCUGUAAUCCCAACACUUUGGGAGGUUUUUACAAAAAUAAAUUAGCCAGGAGUGGUAGUGCACAUCUGUAGUCCCAGCAGUAGCUCAGGAGGCUGAGGCACGAGAACAGCCUGAACACAGGAGGCGGAGGUUGCAGUGAGCUGAGAUCACGCCAGUGCGCCCCAGCCUGAGUGACAGAGCAAGACUCAUGCCUGUAAUCCCAGCACUUUGGGAAGUUGAGGCAGGCAGAUUGCUUGAGCUCAGGAGUUUGAGGAGAACAGUAACAAGUCACUGAUAAUGCCAAGGUGUUCGUCUGCACCAAAAUUGGAAGGUUACCUAUCGUGAUGGAAAUGGGGCUAACUGGAAAGGGGAGCCGCUCCUCUAGAAGGGUAAGAUGAAUUUGUUUCCUGGAGUUGAAUUUGAAGAGCUAGAGGUACAUCCAAGAGGAAAUGUUCUAUAGGCUGGAGAUUUCCAUUUAGAGAAAAAAAUUACUUCUAAAGUAGAAGCAAUAGGUGGGAGUGGAGACUCCCUAGAUUUGGCACCUUUGACAGGCUUGGAGGGGAGGUGGUAUUUUGGUUCUUCCCUUCCUGCCAGAAAUCUCCUUGAGAGACACUGGAGAGGAGUGUGUGGUCUCAAUUAGAACCUGAAGAGUAGAGACUGGGGAGAGGUAGGAGUGGGCAGUAAUCAUAAACAACAGCCACAACAGCAUUUAAAAAUUACUUUAGGCCGGGCUCAGUGGCUCACACCUGUAAUCCCAGCACUUUGGGAGGCUGAGGUGGGAGGAUCCCUUGAGCCUAGGAGUUCGAGGCUGCAGUGAGCCAUGAUCGUGCCACUGCACUCCAGCCUGGGUGACAGAGUGAGUCCCUGUCUCAGAAAAAAAUAAAAAUUACUUUAGAAAGUGACACUAUAGUGACUUAGGUAACAGAAUCCUGUGUGUUUUAGAUUAUUACUUUUUUUUUGUUUUUUGUUUAUAUGUACACUUCCAAUUUUGGUGUAGACAAACACCUUGGCAUUAUCAGUGACUUGUUACUCUGUUCUCCUCUUCCUGCCUGAGAGACUGUCAAAUCAGCGCUUAUUCUAUAAAGUGUCUUUAGAUUGAUCCAUUUCUUUAUAACCCCACCACCCACCCUAGUUGCUACCUUAUUAUUUCAGACUUGUAUUGCCAUUACAGCUUACUAACUGGUUUCUCUAAUCUCAUUUUCUACUUCAUUCAUUUUGCAUGCUACACCAUAAAACCUGCCCUGAUCACUGCUUUUAUCACCACUAUCUGCUCAAGAGCCUACAAUGGCUCUUCAUUACCAAGCCCACCAAGGUAAAAUAAUUUUGUCCGGUUUCAGCCCACCCACCAUGUUCAAGUAACAGGGUGUCUCUUCUUCUGCCCACCUCUUCACUGCUCCUAGCUCCAGGCUGCAGCUUUUGCUCUGUCUGCCCCACCUUGAAAAAUUCAUCUCUAAGA
RNA transcript from Pongo pygmaeus (Bornean orangutan), 14281 nucleotides. RefSeq lists it as uncharacterized. The record is from RefSeq and is marked validated. The transcript has 6 exons. Lineage: Eukaryota; Metazoa; Chordata; Mammalia; Primates; Hominidae.